This 395-nucleotide long non-coding RNA is filed under the name Ananas comosus (pineapple). RNAcentral describes it as "long non-coding RNA (ACOM_LNC040794)". The record is from RNAcentral. Lineage: Eukaryota; Viridiplantae; Streptophyta; Magnoliopsida; Poales; Bromeliaceae.
AAUCGCGUAGAAUUUCCGUUUAACUCAUUUUCGCCCGAAACUUGACGAGUGCUUUUGUAAUUAAAUUACACACAAAAACAUCGUCAACUGAGAGUUUAGCUACACUGCAAAAGUCUCAGUCCUUACAACUUUAUGAUCAAAUCAUUUCAAAAUUGUCAAUUUUCAAUCGCUAUUAUGGCGAGUUUGGAGUUUAACGGUGUAGAAGAAUCUAAAUUUCUUCAAAUUUUGAUAGAAUAUACUUUAAACUAUUUAGAUUAAGGUUAACAUUCUUAAUCUUGAAUUUAAAAGUUCUAUGCUCAAAUUUUAAAGAUUAUUCAAUUUUCACCGUCCAUUUUGACAUAAUUUAUUUACUAAAUAAACGAUGUCGAAAAAAACUAAAAUUUUAUUUCUAAGAA